RNAcentral lists this ribosomal RNA (448 nucleotides) under uncultured bacterium. RNAcentral's name for it is "partial 16S ribosomal RNA". It matches the Rfam family "Bacterial small subunit ribosomal RNA", at positions 28 to 523 of the family's 1533-position model. The record is from RNAcentral.
GAUGAACGCUGGCGGCGUGCUUAACACAUGCAAGUCGAACGAACCUUCGGGUUAGUGGCGGACGGGUGAGUAACGCGUGGGAAUCUGCCCUCAGGAGGGGGAUAACGGCUGGAAACGGCCGCUAAUACCCCAUAUGCCGCGAGGUGAAAUGAAUUUCGCCUGAGGAUGAGCCCGCGUCUGAUUAGCUAGUUGGUGGGGUAAAGGCCUACCAAGGCGACGAUCAGUAGCUGGUCUGAGAGGAUGAUCAGCCACACUGGGACUGAGACACGGCCCAGACUCCUACGGGAGGCAGCAGUGGGGAAUUUUCCGCAAUGGGCGAAAGCCUGACGGAGCAACGCCGCGUGAGGGAUGAAGGCCUCUGGGCUGUAAACCUCUUUUCUCAAGGAAGAAGACCUGACGGUACUUGAGGAAUAAGCCACGGCUAAUUCCGUGACAGCCGCCGCGGUAA